GAUGAACGCUGGCGGCGUGCCUAAUACAUGCAAGUCGAGCGAACGGACGAGAAGCUUGCUUCUCUGAUGUUAGCGGCGGACGGGUGAGUAACACGUGGAUAACCUACUUAUUAGACUGGGAUAACUUCGGGAAACCGGAGCCACUACCGCCUAAUAUUUUGUACCGCAUGAUUCAAAAGUGAAUGACGGUUUUGCUGUCACUUAUAGAUGGAUCCGCGCUGCAUUAGCUAGUUGGUAAGGUAACGGCUUACCAAGGCAACGAUGCAUAGCCGACCUGAGAGGGUGAUCAGCCACACUGGAACUGAGACACGGUCCAGACUCCUACGGGAGGCAGCAGUAGGGAAUCUUCCGCAAUGGGCGAAAGCCUGACGGAGCAACGCCGCGUGAGUGAAGAAGGUCUUCGGGUCGUAAAGCUCUGUUAUUAGGAAAGAACAGAUGUGUAUGAAACUGUGCACAUCUUGACGGUACCUAAUCAGAAAGCCACGGCUAACUACGUG
RNAcentral lists this ribosomal RNA (497 nucleotides) under uncultured bacterium. RNAcentral's name for it is "partial 16S ribosomal RNA". It matches the Rfam family "Bacterial small subunit ribosomal RNA", at positions 28 to 507 of the family's 1533-position model. The record is from RNAcentral.